This 209-nucleotide long non-coding RNA is filed under the name Brassica rapa (field mustard). Its description in RNAcentral is "long non-coding RNA (BRAP_LNC000181)". The record is from RNAcentral. Lineage: Eukaryota; Viridiplantae; Streptophyta; Magnoliopsida; Brassicales; Brassicaceae.
GAAGCUUCACCACAGGUGACUCAGAGUCUUGUAUUUAUGUUUUGCAAAGAGGUUUUGCACGUGAUUCUAGUAGAAGUGGAUCAGCUUGGUGUAUACAAGAAGUGACUUAACAUAUAGAUAAAGACAGGCGCUGUAAGUUCUAGGUCAAAUAUGUUUUGUUGAAGCUUUAAGAUCGUAAGAAGACUCGAUGAUAUCACCCUAAAGUGCAG